CUGCAUUUUCAAAUCCGCCAACCACACUUGGUUUUAUAACCUAGAAGGUUUGCAACAGAACAACAUCAAGAUCAGUACGUAAUAUAUGCUGAAGUGAUGUGAAGGACGUUAAGCCUCACAACAGAAAAUCUUUAAUAACGACACAUUUGUGAGGUGUCCUGGAAACCUAUAUUCUUUUCUUCUACAUUACACAUGAAGUCAGCCCAUGAACAUAAGAUGCAGGGGACAACAAUUCCGUAAGAGGACAAGGAGAGAAAAGAAAUGGGGUUUCACAAGUCACUUACGAUAGCAACAAUUCCUGGAUGGGCAUACUUGGCAAGUUCUUUCACAGGAUUAUCUUGAAUACGAUCGAUAGUUUCAUCCAGUGCGACAG
Long non-coding RNA from Cucumis sativus (cucumber), 373 nucleotides. RefSeq lists it as uncharacterized. The transcript has 3 exons. Lineage: Eukaryota; Viridiplantae; Streptophyta; Magnoliopsida; Cucurbitales; Cucurbitaceae. The record is from RefSeq and is a predicted model, not a curated record.